AGAGUUUGAUCCUGGCUCAGAACGAACGCUGGCGGCGUGCCUAACACAUGCAAGUCGAGCGCGAAAGUCCCUUCGGGGGCGAGUAGAGCGGCGGACGGGUGAGUAAUACAUGGAUAAUCUCCCUUCGAGCUCGGGAUAACACUGCGAAAGCGGUGCUAAUACCGGAUAAGACCACGUCACCCAGGUGAUGCGGUAAAAGAUGGCUUUGUUUUCGGAUGAGGCUAUCACUUGAGGAUGAGUCCAUGGCCUAUCAGCUUGUUGGUGAGGUAAAGGCUCACCAAGGCGAUGACGGGUAGCUGGUCUGAGAGGACGACCAGCCACACUGGGACUGAGACACGGCCCAGACUCCUACGGGAGGCAGCAGUGGGGAAUAUUGGGCAAUGGGCGAAAGCCUGACCCAGCGACGCCGUGUGGGCGAUGAAGGCCUUCGGGUUGUAAAGCCCUGUUGGGUGGAAAGAAGGGCUCUAGGACGAAUAAUCCCUGAGUCUUGACGGUACCACCAGAGGAAGCACCGGCUAACUCCGUGCCAGCAGCCGCGGUAAUACGGAGGGUGCAAGCGUUGUUCGGAAUUACUGGGCGUAAAGGGCGCGUAGGUGGUUGUGUAAGUCAGAUGUGAAAUCCCGAGGCUCAACCUCGGAACUGCAUCUGAUACUGCAUGACUAGAGUGCAGCAGAGGGAAACGGAAUUCCCAGUAUAGAGGUGAAAUUCGUAGAUAUUGGGAGGAACACCGGUGGCGAAGGCGGUUUCCUGGGCUGACACUGACACUGAGGCGCGAAAGCGUGGGUAGCAAACAGGAUUAGAUACCCUGGUAGUCCACGCUGUAAACGGUGAAUA
RNAcentral lists this ribosomal RNA (834 nucleotides) under uncultured bacterium. RNAcentral describes it as "bacterial SSU rRNA". It matches the Rfam family "Bacterial small subunit ribosomal RNA", at positions 8 to 815 of the family's 1533-position model. The record is from RNAcentral.